Molecule: ribosomal RNA, 300 nt
Filed under: uncultured Colwelliaceae bacterium
Lineage: Bacteria; Pseudomonadati; Pseudomonadota; Gammaproteobacteria; Alteromonadales; Colwelliaceae
Description: bacterial SSU rRNA
Rfam family: Bacterial small subunit ribosomal RNA
Source: RNAcentral
UACUUAGGAAUAUGCCUUUGAGUGGGGGAUAACUAUUGGAAACGAUAGCUAAUACCGCAUAACGUCUACGGACCAAAGGGGGCGCUUGCGCUCUCGCUCAAAGAGUAGCCUAAGCGAGAUUAGCUUGUUGGUGAGGUAAAGGCCUACCAAGGCGACGAUCUCUAGCUGGUCUGAGAGGAUGAUCAGCCACACUGGGACUGAGACACGGCCCAGACUCCUACGGGAGGCAGCAGUGGGGAAUAUUGGACAAUGGGCGCAAGCCUGAUCCAGCCAUGCCGCGUGUGUGAAGAAGGCUUUCGG